GUCUGACGUCACUGCCUUAGCUAACCUUGCCUAAACGUCUCGGUGUCUGAAUGUAUGAUAUAAAUGAAAUCUUGGACGACUUGGAAGUAAAAGAGAAAGGUUGUAGACCUGGCCUACCAUAUCAGAAGCUCCUAGUUACGUCGAUAUGAACCGAAGAACAUCUCGUACACGUUAUAAUUCAAUACAUGUGAUAGUCCGAAUGAAGAAGCAUAGGCGAAAGACCCAAUGUGACUGAUCGAUCUGACGUCGAGCAACCCUCUUGCUGCUGAUAAAACGCCGCUUACAGUAAUGACGGAUGAGGGGAUUUCCCUUCUCCGCGGGUGUCACGAGCCUGCGUUUGUCCC
Osmia lignaria (orchard mason bee) is the source of this 344-nucleotide long non-coding RNA. RefSeq lists it as uncharacterized. The record is from RefSeq and is a predicted model, not a curated record. Lineage: Eukaryota; Metazoa; Arthropoda; Insecta; Hymenoptera; Megachilidae.